AUCAGAGCUCGUGCAGCAUGAACUGACAUGUUGUCCACCCAAUAAGAAUGAAUCUAUCACUGAAAACAUAAGCUACAGCUAGCUAGCACUGCAGUGCAUAAAAUAUGAUGAGUAGUUGACUCAAAGAGAGAGAAAGACAAUAAUUGAUUUCUUCCAAAAUGAAGGAGAAGUAGGAGAGAGAGAGAUUGCAAUAUCUUUUUUUUUUUGAGGGGGGGGGGUUCACUUUCACUUAGCUACUUAGCUAGCAAAAGGCAAAAGCAGCUAGCUAGCUAGUUUAACCUACUCAAACACCCGGCUCAAACAGAGGGAUGCUAUGUUAGCUAGCUGAUUAUGACUAUCCAACACAACACUGGAACUCUUCCAAGUCAAGAUUCAACUAGUCUGUUACGGCAGAGGCAGAGAUGACGUUGGAGGGAUAUGGGUCAAACUUAGCUGAAAUGGUUUCGUGCCCCACGUCCGGUGUCAAGUUUUCAUACAUACAGCUGAGGACUUUGUAUCUUAGGCUUUGGAGUUUAACAGCUCUCCCUCGCUCUGUGUUGACAGGAAGUUUAACUCAGGCUGAGCUGAUGGAUGGUCUCUAUUUAGGCUGUGAGGAGGUCAAGCCCACAGAGGAAGCAAUCAACCAGGACUCAGAACAGGAGGAACCUCCACAGCUGCACUGGAAGUAAUAAACUGACCAGGGUGGGCCCCUGUUGGGAGAAUCCGUUUUUGCAGGGUCAAAGGGUUUGGUCAGAUUGGUCGUCCAAUGACCCCAUGGUGAACUUUAUGAGUAGGAACCUUGAAGCCGAGGAGCUGGGUAGUUGAAUUUUGGAGGAGGCUGAGCUGACUGGCAGUUAGCUUGAAACCCUCAUCAGGGAAUGAAUAGUCUGAAACCUGCCUAUGGUAGAUAUCUAGCUGUACUGCUCGAGAAACGUAUAAGCAGAUAUUUUUGUGUUUUUUUAAGCCUGGCUCUAAGACUCUCUGAGCUAAAUAAAUAGGAGAAUGAUUUGAAUCUGGCUUCCCUCUCAAUUCCACUUCAAACUUUAGUCUUAGUCACCAUGAGCCCCUAUACCCAUGAGAGUUGUAUAUGUAUGAAUUAUUUACAGCUUCAUGGCGGAGCGCUGCUGCUCCGUGCACAGAGUGAAAGUCAAUUUCAUUUUCUUCUUUUCAUUUCCUCGCAUCCCUCCAGCAUUUUCUAAAGUGGAAGAAGACAGAUUCUCAAUUUCAUUUGGAUUCUCUAACUUCCGUACCUUCAGAAAAGAGCAGAGAACUGUGCCAGAACUGAGUCAUGAAGAUGACAGAUUUAUAUUUCCAUUUCCCCCACCAUGUCUAUCGACAUCUGAAGUUUAAGUUAUUUUGCAGCUUUUUAGUUGGGUUAAGUCAUGAACUUAAAGAUGGAAUCCACAUAAGGGGGGAAACACCGAAACUGGCCGCCUCACCACCGUUGCUUUUGUUUUUGUUGCCGAGCUGAGGAGCGUCAUGCAACAUGGCAAAGAAACAUUACAGUACAUAUUGUGCUCUUCAAUCAUGCAUGCAAUGAUGCCCGAGGGAAACAAAUGUAACUCUUUAUUUCGAAAGUCCAUCUGUAGAUCCGCUACAGAAUAUCUACAGACUAUCAGUAACAUUUCAACUAACUAUCUGUUAACCCUAACCCUAGCUCGAACCCUAACCUUAACCCUUAUCCUAACCCUAAACUUAACCCUUACACUAUCCCUAACCCUAGUCCUAACCUUAACCCUUCCUUAUCCUAACCCUUAUUCUAAACCUAACCCCAACCUUAUCCAAUUAAAGUGUGACCAAAAA
This 1782-nucleotide long non-coding RNA is filed under the name Salmo salar (Atlantic salmon). Its description in RNAcentral is "lncRNA (ENSSSAG00000109636.1)". The record is from RNAcentral. Lineage: Eukaryota; Metazoa; Chordata; Actinopteri; Salmoniformes; Salmonidae.